Molecule: long non-coding RNA, 964 nt
Filed under: Physcomitrium patens
Lineage: Eukaryota; Viridiplantae; Streptophyta; Bryopsida; Funariales; Funariaceae
Description: long non-coding RNA (PPAT_LNC007749)
Source: RNAcentral
UCCCGAACCACGACUUUCUGCAGUGAAAGCGAGGCCAUGGUCACAAACACCACCGUUUCAAGUUGUGAUGGACUGCUACAGUUCACUCGCCUGAUACCUAGAUAUACACGCACAGUUUUAUCUGAAAACUGAGACACGAGUUUUCGUUAUCCGAGAGCUUCGAAAAUCCGCCGAAGUGGCUAGACGCAGUUGGAUCUUCAGAAACAAAACUGACCCCCAAGGUGGAUUCUAAAGGUGACAGUGCAUUGAAGCGUACCGCUCCGCAUUGAACUCACAAUCGUCGCACUUCGGCGCAUUGCGACUGUUUCGUAGACGUGCUAAGAGUUUUUGUCGCAAGCCUUAGAAUGGGUUUGAAUUUCAGGGAAUUGGUAGAACACGAGAGCGGUGAGGAAUACAAGGCAUAUCUCCGUAGUCGACUUAAAUGCAUGCAACCCUCAGGCACCAGAAUCCUGAUUGCAGAACCAUCAAGAAUUGUACACGCUGAUGAUUACAGCGUCGCCUGAAGAAGCUCGCAAUACUUGAGCGUUGUUACAGAAACUGGUGAUCUGAAUGUGAUAUAGAAUUUGUUAGGUGACAAGAUUUAUCAGCUGCAUCGUGAACCUACUCGCCUGGAUUUCAUGUAUACUUGCAGAAUAUAUAAACUUCCAUAGCUGCGUCACAACAAGCUUGUGGAGGAGACGUUAGCAUUCCAACAUUCUUGAAAUUUCUCAUGGCAUGUGUGAGUUGAUCAAAGCUUGAUGAAGAAAAUCAGUUUGCUCAUACUGAAGCAAGUAUACACCUUGUGAUAAAUCAGAUGGGCUUCUACAUCCAUUUCUCAAGUGGGUCUUAAUUGAUAGUUUGUAUUAGGAGUGUUUAAGUUUCAAUUGAAAAAGCUCCACUUUUGUUACCUGCAGACUGUUUAUUACUGUUUGAAUCAUAAUUUUUAAUAGAUGUCUCAAAAAGCAAUUUUUUUAUUUGAUAGUCG